Long non-coding RNA from Oncorhynchus tshawytscha (Chinook salmon), 1395 nucleotides. Lineage: Eukaryota; Metazoa; Chordata; Actinopteri; Salmoniformes; Salmonidae. The record is from Ensembl.
CCUCGUAAUGAUAGGGCUGUGUCUCUCUGGGCUAAUGAUGAGGUGGGACUGGUAUUCCUCAUAAUGAUAGAGCUGUGUAUCUCUGGGUUAAUGAUGAAGUGGGACUGGUAUUCCUCGUAAUGACAAGGCUGUGUCUCUCUGGGCUAAUGAUAAAGUGGGACUGGUAUUCCUCGUAAUGAUAGAGCUGUGUCUCUCUGGGCUAACGAUGAGGUGGGACUGGUAUUCCUCGUAAUGAUAGAGCUGUGUCUCUCUGGGCUAAUGAUAAAGUGGGAUAAGAUAUGUGAUGAGGAUUGAAAUGUUUGAAAUAUCCCUAAAAUGUGCAGGAUACACCUACCAAUUAGGAUGCGCACUGCGGAGAACACCAGAAGAAGAAUGAUAUUUUAAUUACCAGAACUAAAAGAACAAAGGUUACGUAAAGGUUCGGAGAACUAAAAGGACAAAGGUUACGUAAAGGUUUGGGGAACAAACGUCAAAGGUUACGUAAAGGUUCGGAGAACUAAAAGGACAAAGGUUACGUAAAGGUUUGGGGAACAAACGGCAAAGGUUACGUAAAGGUUCAGAGAACUAAAAGGACAAAGGUUAGGUGACUUGGGUCAACUUUAGAAUAAGAUUUAGGGGAAUGGUUAGCUACAAUGCUACAGCUGUCCCCGAUGCGACUCAAACACGCGACCUUUAGAUUGCUAGACGGACGCAGAUCAUGCCCACCCAUCCUGCCUGACCAACCUCCCUACUUUUGUUUCUUUCUAAAGUAACUCAACCAUUUUUAGGUAUCAUACGUCUUGGAUGCGCGCAGUAAUAAGUAUGUCUCUGAGGCCAGGCUGGACUUAUGGGGACAAACAAAGAACCUGUUCUGUCUUUUGAUGCCCUUGUAUUCAACCCUGUUUGUGUCUGGUACCUGCCUGUCUUUUGAUGCCUUUGUAUUCAACCCUGUUUGUGUCUGGUACCUGCCUGUCUUUUGAUGCCUUUGUAAUCAACCCUGUUUGUGUCUGGUACCUGCCUGUCUUUUGAUGCCUUUGUAUUCAACUCUGUUUGUGUCUGGUACCUGCCUGUCUUUUGAUGCCUUUGUAUUCAACUCUGUUUGUGUCUGGUACCUGCCUGUCUUUUGAUGCCUUUGUAUUCAACCCUGUUUGUGUCUGGUACCUGCCUGUCUUUUGAUGCCCUUGUAUUCAACCCUGUUUGUGUCUGGUACCUGCCUGUCUUUUGAUGCCUUUGUAUUCAACCCUGUUUGUGUCUGGUACCUGCCUGUCUUUUGCUGUCUGGUACCUGCCUGUCUUUUGCUGUCUGGUACAUGCCAGUCUGUUGGUGUUUGUUCCAUGCCAGUCUGUUGGUGUUUGUGCCAUGCCAGUCUGUUGGUGUUUGUUCCAUGCCAGUCUGUUGGUGUUUGUUCCAUGCCAG